Molecule: ribosomal RNA, 547 nt
Filed under: uncultured Nitrososphaerota archaeon
Lineage: Archaea; Thermoproteati; Nitrososphaerota
Description: uncultured thaumarchaeote partial 16S ribosomal RNA
Source: RNAcentral
UACAACGCACUACCUGUUCAUAGUAGUCGUUGCUGUCAACAGCACACUGCUCACCAUCAACGCAGGGGACUACAUAUUCUACACAGACUGGGCGUGGACGUCCGUCGUUGUUUUCUCGGUGUCGGCAUUAACGUGUCGUGACGAAGGCUCAUUAUAUUACAUGUCAUUCCUAUGUGUUCCAGGAACCGCACCCUAUCAAUCCCACAUUAUGACCACCCCAAACCACGUGCGAACUGCGACAUGGUUAUCACAUUGCUACCCUACCGAUUCAGUCGCGGACACAAGCACGACCAACCACGCUGCCUUACUGAUUGGCGGUUCGCUGUUUAGCCUAUACUUCCCGCUCAUCAACAGGUGCAACCUGUUUCUUGUAAGGGCCCCGCUCGAGGUGGCCUUCAAGGAUCCAAUACCGACUCGUCCCGCGUACAUGACGCCUAUAGAGCCUCAGGUAGGGAAGUUCUACAACUCGCCUGUCGCCCUGGGUUCAGGUGCCGGUGCAGUGCUAACGGUACCCAUCGCUGCGUUGGGUGCAAAACUAAACACGUGG